GAUGAACGCUGGCGGCGUGCCUAAUACAUGCAGGUCGAGCGAACAGACGAGGAGCUUGCUCCUCUGACGUUAGCGGCGGAAGGGUGAGUAACACGUGGAUAACCUCCCUAUAAGACUGGGAUAACUUCGGGAAACCGGAGCUAAUACCGGAUAAUAUAUUGAACCGCAUGGUUCAAUAGUGAAAGACGGUUUUGCUGUCACUUAUAGAUGGAUCCGCGCCGCAUUAGCUAGUUGGUAAGGUAACGGCUUACCAAGGCAACGAUGCGUAGCCGACCUGAGAGGGUGAUCGGCCACACUGGAACUGAGACACGGUCCAGACUCCUACGGGAGGCAGCAGUAGGGAAUCUUCCGCAAUGGGCGAAAGCCUGACGGAGCAACGCCGCGUGAGUGAUGAAGGUCUUCGGAUCGUAAAACGCUGUUAUUAGGGAAGAACAAAUGUGUAAGUAACUAUGCACGUCUUGACGGUACCUAAUCAGAAAGCCACGGCUAACUACGUG
This 497-nucleotide ribosomal RNA is filed under the name uncultured bacterium. RNAcentral's name for it is "partial 16S ribosomal RNA". It matches the Rfam family "Bacterial small subunit ribosomal RNA", at positions 28 to 507 of the family's 1533-position model. The record is from RNAcentral.